ACACUUAUGAGGAGUCCCAUACUAGGACGAAACGGCCGUCCAGUGC
This is a non-coding RNA of Schistosoma mattheei, 46 nucleotides long. The record is from Rfam. NCBI's taxonomy places the organism in Eukaryota, Metazoa, Platyhelminthes, Trematoda, Strigeidida, Schistosomatidae.